This 253-nucleotide ribosomal RNA is filed under the name uncultured bacterium. Its description in RNAcentral is "partial 16S ribosomal RNA". It matches the Rfam family "Bacterial small subunit ribosomal RNA", at positions 524 to 776 of the family's 1533-position model. The record is from RNAcentral.
UACGGGGGGGGCUAGCGUUGUUCGGAAUUACUGGGCGUAAAGGGCGCGUAGGCGGCCAUUCAAGUCGGAGGUGAAAGCCCGGGGCUCAACCCCGGAACUGCCUUUGAAACUAGAUAGCUAGAAUCUUGGAGAGGUCAGUGGAAUUCCGAGUGUAGAGGUGAAAUUCGUAGAUAUUCGGAAGAACACCAGUGGCGAAGGCGACUGACUGGACAAGUAUUGACGCUGAGGUGCGAAAGCGUGGGGAGCAAACAGG